UUACCUGGUCUUGACCAUCCCGGAGACCCUUAGGAAACUAGGGGUGCUUCCAUCUGGAAGAAUCUGGAGACAGGUGCUGCAUGGCUGUCGUCAGCUCGUGUCGUGAGAUGUUGGGUUAAGUCCCGCACGAGCGCAACCCUUGCCUUUAGUUGCCAGCAGUUCGGCUGGGCACUCUAAAGGGACUGCCGGUGUUAAACCGGAGGAAGGUGGGGAUGACGUCAAGUCCUCAUGGCCUUUAUGACCAGGGCUACACACGUACUACAAUGGCCGAUACAAAGGGCAGCGACACUGCGAGGUGAAGCCAAUCCCGUAAAAUCGGUCUCAGUCCGGAUUGGAGUCUGCAACUCGACUCCAUGAAGUUGGAAUCGCUAGUAAUCGUGGAUCAGCAUGCCACGGUGAAUACGUUCCCGGGCCUU
This 416-nucleotide ribosomal RNA is filed under the name uncultured Desulfobulbus sp. RNAcentral's name for it is "bacterial SSU rRNA". It matches the Rfam family "Bacterial small subunit ribosomal RNA", at positions 971 to 1382 of the family's 1533-position model. Lineage: Bacteria; Pseudomonadati; Thermodesulfobacteriota; Desulfobulbia; Desulfobulbales; Desulfobulbaceae. The record is from RNAcentral.